Oncorhynchus nerka (sockeye salmon) is the source of this 1250-nucleotide long non-coding RNA. RefSeq lists it as uncharacterized. Lineage: Eukaryota; Metazoa; Chordata; Actinopteri; Salmoniformes; Salmonidae. The transcript has 2 exons. The record is from RefSeq and is a predicted model, not a curated record.
UGAUGGGCUGUGUUGCCUGUCUUCACAGUGAAAGGCUGCCACCUUGUGGUAUUAGUACGGGUUAGUGAUAAAUCUGCAAACUACUGCUCUGCAUACCGAGUGAUGUUUCCAAAGGGUAAGUAAAAUAGAGUGAAAUAGAUCCACUCGGGAGACAAGCAACCGAUCCCACCCUUACGAAAAAAGAUUACCGUCAGAGUGCAGUAUGCUGCAAAUACUGCAUCCAACAUAACAUUCUUUUUUUACUGCAGUCAUUUUGCAGUGUAACCGAUCAAGGAACAGAAGAAGCGAGAGGUAAAACGACCCAAAAUCGGUCUUCUCCAGCAGGGGGCGUACAUGACCCAUCAAAUUAGCCAGGUGUGUCUGACGGUGAUUACGGCUAUCUAUUGUAUAAUAAUGCUCAAAUAUUUGUAUCUGGAAUUUGUCUUUCAGCAUCAGUAGAACACACCCGACUCUCCACCAGUCAUGGAGAAUGGUCUAAUGCCUCCCAUCGAAAAGAGAGCUGGCCCAAGCAAGCAUGAGGACUUGCAGCAAGUUGUGAACUCAACAACUACACUGAGGAUAAUGCAAUAAUAUUACCAGGACACAAACACUUUGGUGGAAAGCUGCUGCCAUCCCAUGUGACAAUAGCAGCGAUGUGGCAUCUCUACAAGGAAUCGAUGACAUCACUUGAGGCUCCACCACAGUCUGGACCUUCACUUCCUGAUCACAGGCCACACCUGGCUUCAGCCUCAUCAAGCAGCGCUUCAGAAAGACCAGAGUGAUGUUGUGAAACGGCACUGUGACAGGGGUCAUCACAUGCCCUGCACCAAAGUCAAGGGCAGGACAGAAACAGGCUCUCCGAAUAUAGAUUCCCUUGUUCCAUGUGUUCGGAUGGAUCUGUCAUCAGGACUAUCUGCAGUGCCUCUAUUCAUAUGACUCUCCUAACAUACGUUGCUGCUACUAUUUAUUUUUUUAUCCUGCUGCUCAGCCACUUCACCCCUGAUGGUAUGCAUAUAACUACCUCAUCUAUCCCUGAUAUCGUCAUUGAUAUUGUUCUGUAUAUUAUUUUCUAUAUAUUGACACUAUAUAUAUCUGAUGUUGCUACUAUGCAAGUAACCAUUUGGCUGUAUCGUUUACACCUCCUGUAGAGACCCAUCCACUUAGCAAGAUGUGGCUGGGGGUUAUAGCAUUUCUUUCACAUGACCCAUCAAGUUAGACAAGUGUGUCUGGGUAAGCGUCAUCUAAUAUUUAUAAAAUAUUUUUUAUCUGGA